This 520-nucleotide ribosomal RNA is filed under the name uncultured bacterium. Its description in RNAcentral is "bacterial SSU rRNA". It matches the Rfam family "Bacterial small subunit ribosomal RNA", at positions 28 to 544 of the family's 1533-position model. The record is from RNAcentral.
GAUGAACGCUAGCGGCAGGCCUAAUACAUGCAAGUCGAGGGGCAGCGGGGGUAGCAAUACUCGCCGGCGACCGGCGCACGGGUGCGUAACGCGUAUGUAAUUUGCCCACUACAGGGGGAUAGCCCGGAGAAAUUCGGAUUAAUACCCCAUAAAACAGGGAUCCCGCAUGGGAAUAUUGUUAAAGCUCCGGCGGUAGUGGAUGAGCAUGCGUCCGAUUAGCUAGUUGGUGAGGUAACGGCUCACCAAGGCGACGAUCGGUAGGGGGUCUGAGAGGAUGAUCCCCCACACUGGUACUGAGAUACGGACCAGACUCCUACGGGAGGCAGCAGUAGGGAAUAUUGGGCAAUGGACGCAAGUCUGACCCAGCCAUGCCGCGUGCAGGAAGAAGGCUUUCUGAGUUGUAAACUGCUUUUGAAUGGGAACAAAUAACCCUUGCGAGGGUAGCUGAGUGUACCAUUAGAAUAAGCACCGGCUAACUCCGUGCCAGCAGCCGCGGUAAUACGGAGGGUGCAAGCGUUGU